RNAcentral lists this ribosomal RNA (514 nucleotides) under Septoglomus fuscum. RNAcentral's name for it is "LSU rRNA". It matches the Rfam family "Eukaryotic large subunit ribosomal RNA", at positions 255 to 648 of the family's 3401-position model. Lineage: Eukaryota; Fungi; Glomeromycota; Glomeromycetes; Glomerales; Glomeraceae. The record is from RNAcentral.
UUUCUAAGAGUCGAGUUGUUUGGGAUUGCAGCUCAAAAUGGGAGGUAAAUUUCUCCUAAGGCUAAAUAUUGGCGAGAGACCGAUAGCGAACAAGUACCGUGAGGGAAAGAUGAAAAGAACUUUGAAAAGAGAGUUAAACAGUACGUGAAAUUGUUGAAAGGGAAACGAUUGAGGUCAGUCAUACUAACGGGAAAUCAACCUAUUUGAGUUGUGAAUUUUGGAUUUUGAAGAGUGUAAACCUUCUUGUUCCAAAUAUUUUGCGCUUUUUAGGCGUAAUUUCUCGUUCGGUAGGUUAACAUCGAUUUUGAAUAUUAUAAAAUGACCGGAGGAAUGUAGCUUCGAUCUCGUAUUGAAGUGUUAUAUCCUUUGAUAGAUGUAAUGAUCAAGAUCGAGGAUUGCAACGAAUACCCUUUGGGCUAUCCGUCUGAUCUCUGAUACGUUGCCUUGGUAACGAAAGCUUGCUUACGGUAUUGAGGUAUUACGGUCAAAAGGUUAGAACGUGAUUACAUUCGUU